UACGGAGGGUGCAAGCGUUGUCCGGAAUCACUGGGCAUAAAGCGCACGUAGGCGGUGCCGUAAGUCAGAUGUGAAAUCCCUCGGCCCAACCGAGGAACUGCGUCUGAUACUGCGGUGCUUGAGGACCAGAGGGGUGCAUGGAAUUUCCGGUGGAGCGGUGAAAUGCGUUGAUAUCGGAAGGAACUCCGGCGGCGAAAGCGAUGCACUGGCUGGUUUCUGACGCUGAGGUGCGAAAGCCAGGGGAGCAAACGGG
Molecule: ribosomal RNA, 253 nt
Filed under: uncultured bacterium
Lineage: Bacteria
Description: partial 16S ribosomal RNA
Rfam family: Bacterial small subunit ribosomal RNA
Source: RNAcentral